RNAcentral lists this ribosomal RNA (396 nucleotides) under uncultured bacterium. RNAcentral's name for it is "bacterial SSU rRNA". It matches the Rfam family "Bacterial small subunit ribosomal RNA", at positions 28 to 430 of the family's 1533-position model. The record is from RNAcentral.
GACGAACGCUGGCGGCGUGCUUAACACAUGCAAGUCGAACGGUAAGGCCCUUCGGGGUACACGAGUGGCGAACGGGUGAGUAACACGUGGGUGAUCUGCCCUGCACUUCGGGAUAAGCCUGGGAAACUGGGUCUAAUACCGGAUAGGACCAUGGACUUCACGGUUUGUGGUGGAAAGCUUUUGCGGUGUGGGAUGGGCCCGCGGCCUAUCAGCUUGUUGGUGGGGUAAUGGCCUACCAAGGCGACGACGGGUAGCCGGCCUGAGAGGGUGUCCGGCCACACUGGGACUGAGAUACGGCCCAGACUCCUACGGGAGGCAGCAGUGGGGAAUAUUGCACAAUGGGCGCAAGCCUGAUGCAGCGACGCCGCGUGAGGGAUGACGGCCUCGGUUGUAACU